GGGGAAGGGAUAUGAUGAAAAAAUUUAAUCGGGGGAGACAGGCUGGUCAGAGAACUGGGAAGGGGGAGGGAUGGAGAGAGAGGGAAAGCAAGGGUUACUUGAAGUUAGAAACAG
This is a long non-coding RNA of Amblyraja radiata (thorny skate), 114 nucleotides long. RefSeq lists it as uncharacterized. The transcript has 3 exons. NCBI's taxonomy places the organism in Eukaryota, Metazoa, Chordata, Chondrichthyes, Rajiformes, Rajidae. The record is from RefSeq and is a predicted model, not a curated record.